Molecule: long non-coding RNA, 101 nt
Organism: Rhagoletis zephyria (snowberry fruit fly)
Lineage: Eukaryota; Metazoa; Arthropoda; Insecta; Diptera; Tephritidae
Source: RefSeq, a predicted model, not a curated record
AGCAUAGCAGGUAUUUGGCCAGCCAAACGCCACAAUCGGAACCCAUUUUGACCGUUUAUGUUUCUGAUGACGUCGAAAAAGUUGUAUAUUUUGCCACUUUU